UGGGGAAUAUUGGACAAUGGGCCACGAGCCUGAUCCAGCAAUUCUGUGUGGGUGAUGACGGUCUUAGGAUUGUAAAGCCCUUUCAGUGGGGAAGAAGAAAGUGACAGUACCCACAGAAGAAGCCACGGCUAACUACGUGCCAGCAGCCGCGGUAAGACGUAGGUGGCAAGCGUUAUCCGGAAUCACUGGGCGUAAAGGGCAUCUAGGCGGUUUAUUAAGUCAGAAGUGAAAUACCGGGGCUCAACCCCGGGACUGCUUUUGAAACUGGUAGACUAGAAUACGGGAUAGGAGGGCGGAACUACAAGUGUAGAGGUGAAAUUCGUAGAUAUUUGUAGGAAUGCCGAUGACGAAGGUAGCUCUCUGGACCGACAUUGACGCUGAAGUGCGAAAGCUAGGGUAG
Molecule: ribosomal RNA, 400 nt
Filed under: uncultured bacterium
Lineage: Bacteria
Description: bacterial SSU rRNA
Rfam family: Bacterial small subunit ribosomal RNA
Source: RNAcentral